UGAAAACGAUGUUAAGACUAUGAAUAGAAACAGGCCACUUAAAAUAAAGGCGCUUUUAGCAGUUAUUUCUGGAGUGAUUUGCUAUUGGGGCCGCAGCUGUUCCUAAAGCUCAGUUGCAUUUUUGCCCUUUUCCAGCAUGAUUAUUUAACUGUUCCUUUUGUUGUAUAGUUACCCUGGUGUCUUCAUAUCCCUACUAGAUUUUGGUUGAGAGUGCAGGGAACCAGAGACUUAUUGUUUACUUCUGAAUAUAUGACACUUAGCAGUGUCUAUGAUAUUUAAUUACUACAAAAUAAUAAAUAUUUGUUUGUUGAGUGAAUUCAUUCAAUACAUUUUCCAUUUUCCCCCCAGGAUAUUUGUUGCUAUAUCUUUUUUAAAAUGAAGAACUGAAAAAUUCAAAUAUUAAAUACUUAGAAGUGGGAUGUUUCAAAGUUUGACUACAAAAUGUGGAACUGGUUGAGCUAAAGGAAGUUAAUGAACAAGUACGUGUAUGGUCCAGUGUCAUUGCUUCCCUCUGGGACCAGACUGCCUAUACUCAUACCUAACUCUUUGCUGCUCCUGCUCCUGACAUACAGUCAGUCUGUUAGAGCAGCUGCUGCUUCUACUUUGCUGGUGAUUUCCAUUUGUUCAACAGCUCUACCUGUGAAUGUUUGGAAAAAGCCAAUUGGGAAAGCAGUAUAG
Molecule: long non-coding RNA, 678 nt
Filed under: Callithrix jacchus (white-tufted-ear marmoset)
Lineage: Eukaryota; Metazoa; Chordata; Mammalia; Primates; Cebidae
Description: lncRNA (ENSCJAG00000075013.1)
Source: RNAcentral